Molecule: ribosomal RNA, 459 nt
Filed under: uncultured bacterium
Lineage: Bacteria
Description: partial 16S ribosomal RNA
Rfam family: Bacterial small subunit ribosomal RNA
Source: RNAcentral
CCUACGGGAGGCAGCAGUGAGGAAUAUUGGUCAAUGGGCGGGAGCCUGAACCAGCCAAGCCGCGUGAGGGAAGAAGGUACAGCGUAUCGUAAACCUCUUUUGUCAGGGAACAAAGGCGGGGACUAGUCCCCGGAUGAGGGUACCUGAAGAAAAAGCAUCGGCUAACUCCGUGCCCGCAGCCGCGGUAAUACGGAGGAUGCGAGCGUUAUCCGGAUUUAUUGGGUUUAAAGGGUGCGCAGGCGGCCUUUUAAGUCAGCGGGAAAAGCCCGGGGCUAAACCCCGGCGAGCCGUUGAAACUGGCGGGCUGGAGUUGGAGAGAAGUACGCGGAAUGCGCGGUGUAGCGGUGAAAUGCUUAGAUAUCGCGCAGAACCCCGAUUGCGAAGGCAGCGUACCGGCUCCACACUGACGCUGAGGCACGAAAGCGUGGGUAUCGAACAGGAUUAGAUACCCGAGUAGUC